Molecule: ribosomal RNA, 1704 nt
Filed under: Triticum aestivum (bread wheat)
Lineage: Eukaryota; Viridiplantae; Streptophyta; Magnoliopsida; Poales; Poaceae
Description: partial small subunit ribosomal RNA
Source: RNAcentral
AUGGAGACACAACUCGCGGAUCUGAUCCGAUCCGUCAACGAGGGGCGUGCGGCGAACGACGCCCGCCUGGAGGCAAUCCAGGCGUCCCUCGAGCUCUGGAGGUCGGCGGUCUCCAACCUGCAACGCGAGCUCGACGAGCUCCGCACCCAAGUGGGACGGAUCGCCCUCCACCCGGCACUCGCGACGCAAGGCGAGACGGUGGAAGAAGUGGUGGUGCCUCCGGCACCGUCUCCUUCGACGAUGGGCCCCGAGCACCACGGGCCAAGUGGCCACGGCGAGAUCUUCAACUCCGGGGGUGGGGCUCACGGGGUGGUCACCACCCUGCAGCCGCCUCCGGUCAAGGGUACGUACCAAUCCCUACCGGAGAACUACGCAUCUGUAGGAGUUGGGUCGAGUCGUAUGAUUAAUUGGGAGCCGCCACACGCCACGCAGCAGUCACCGCACACGCAUCACUGGGCGCUGUCGAAAUUGGAUUUUCCCCAAUUCGACGGGGAAAACCCACAGUUCUGGAAGUCUAGAUGCGAAAAAUACUUCGAUGUUUAUGGUAUUCAGCCCGAUUUCUGGGUUCGUGUAGCCACCUUACACUUCACAGGCACCGCCGCUCGCUGGCUGCAGCUGCACGAAGCAGCAAGUUGCUUGUCCACUUGGGAGGGCCUAUGCACAUCACUGAAGGAGAAAUUUGGUCGAGAUCAGUACCAAAUGCAUCUCCGUCAGUUUAACAUUCUGAAACAGACAGGAUCCGUAGAGGAGUACAUGGGGCAGUUUGAGGAAUUAAUGCAUCAUAUUCUCGCGCACAAUUCUGGGUUCGAUCCGAUUUACUUUACAACUCAAUUCUUAGAUGGGUUAAAGGCUGAAAUUCGCGCUGGAGUUGCUUUACAUAGACCGCAAAACUUGGACUCUGCCUUUUCCUUGGCCCUGUUGCAGGAAGAGCUGGUGGAGGCGAUGCCGCGGCGCGAGCACAGACGAUAUGAUCCAGCGCCGCCAAGACCCCCAGCGCGACCAGCACCAGCAAUGGCCGUGCCAGCGGCGCCGCAGCGCGUACCGUUACUUGCCCCACAAGCAGCAGCGGAGGAUCGCCGGGCGUUGGACGCAGCACGUACGGCUGACCGUCGCCCUGAGAAAGGACGAGGCGAAGAUCGUGUAGCCGCGCUCCGCAACUACCGCAGAGCAAGGGGGCUGUGCUUCAAAUGCGGCGAACGCUGGGGCCAGGGCCAUCAGUGCGCAGCCACAGUCCAGCUGCACGUGGUGGAGGAACUCCUUGAGCUGCUACAAGCUGAAGAGCAUGACAGGCAAGAAGCAGAGUCUGAUUCGGAAGAGGAGGUGCUCAUGUCCAUAUCAAAGCUCGCAACGACAGGGCAGACCAGUCCGCGCACGGUCCGUUUGCUGGGACAGAUCGGGGGGCGUGAAGUGUUGAUAUUGGUAGACUUUGGCAGUUCCCACAGCUUCGUCAGCAAGGAUGUCGCAGCAAGGAUGACAACUCAAGUACAGCAGAUGGCACCUGUGUCAGUAAAAAUCGCUGAUGGAGGGCUGCUAUCUUGUUGUGGAUACAUACCGGCGUGCAAAUGGGAGACGCAGGGACACCAAUUUACCACUGAUCUGCGGGUGCUGUCGCUAGGCUGUUAUGACAUGAUGCUGGGAAUGGACUGGCUGGAGCACUGCGGACAGAUGCUAGUGGAUUGGGGAGCAAAAACAUUGAAGUUCUAG